This 386-nucleotide unclassified non-coding RNA is filed under the name soil metagenome. RNAcentral describes it as "partial contains 5.8S ribosomal RNA, internal transcribed spacer 2, and large subunit ribosomal RNA". The stretch from base 5 to 119 matches the Rfam family "5.8S ribosomal RNA", at positions 40 to 154 of the family's 154-position model. The record is from RNAcentral.
GAUGAGAACGUAGCGAAAUGCGAUAAGUAAUGUGAAUUGCAGAAUUCAGUGAAUCAUCGAAUCUUUGAACGCACCUUGCACCCUUUGGUAUUCCGAAGGGUAUGCUCGUUUGAGUGUCAUUGUACUCUCACACUUCUAAUUCCUUUCGGGAUUGGGAGCGGUGGACUUGGGUGUUGCUGCUUUAGUUGUGGCUCACCUCAAAUAAGUUAGUGCAACUCUUGGUUGGACAUAGUACGGCGUGAUAAGUGUCUUCGCCGGCGCCUCUGUAAGGAGGGUGGCCGAUCGGGAGCUCUGUGCUUCAAACCGUCUUCGGACAAUCUUUGACAACUUGACCUCAAAUCGAGUAGGACUACCCGCUGAACUUAAGCAUAUCAAUAAGCGGAGGA